RNAcentral lists this ribosomal RNA (1321 nucleotides) under Lysinibacillus sp. Its description in RNAcentral is "bacterial SSU rRNA". It matches the Rfam family "Bacterial small subunit ribosomal RNA", at positions 62 to 1363 of the family's 1533-position model. The record is from RNAcentral. Lineage: Bacteria; Bacillati; Bacillota; Bacilli; Caryophanales; Bacillaceae.
UCGAGCGAACAGAGAAGGAGCUUGCUCCUUUGACGUUAGCGGCGGACGGGUGAGUAACACGUGGGCAACCUACCUUAUAGUUUGGGAUAACUCCGGGAAACCGGGGCUAAUACCGAAUAAUCUGUUUCACCUCAUGGUGAAAUAUUGAAAGACGGUUUCGGCUGUCGCUAUAGGAUGGGCCCGCGGCGCAUUAGCUAGUUGGUGAGGUAACGGCUCACCAAGGCGACGAUGCGUAGCCGACCUGAGAGGGUGAUCGGCCACACUGGGACUGAGACACGGCCCAGACUCCUACGGGAGGCAGCAGUAGGGAAUCUUCCACAAUGGGCGAAAGCCUGAUGGAGCAACGCCGCGUGAGUGAAGAAGGAUUUCGGUUCGUAAAACUCUGUUGUAAGGGAAGAACAAGUACAGUAGUAACUGGCUGUACCUUGACGGUACCUUAUUAGAAAGCCACGGCUAACUACGUGCCAGCAGCCGCGGUAAUACGUAGGUGGCAAGCGUUGUCCGGAAUUAUUGGGCGUAAAGCGCGCGCAGGUGGUUUCUUAAGUCUGAUGUGAAAGCCCACGGCUCAACCGUGGAGGGUCAUUGGAAACUGGGAGACUUGAGUGCAGAAGAGGAUAGUGGAAUUCCAAGUGUAGCGGUGAAAUGCGUAGAGAUUUGGAGGAACACCAGUGGCGAAUGCGACUAUCUGGUCUGUAACUGACACUGAGGCGCGAAAGCGUGGGGAGCAAACACGAUUAGAUACCCUGGUAGUCCACGCCGUAAACGAUGAGUGCUAAGUGUUAGGGGGUUUCCGCCCCUUAGUGCUGCAGCUAACGCAUUAAGCACUCCGCCUGGGGAGUACGGUCGCAAGACUGAAACUCAAAGGAAUUGACGGGGGCCCGCACAAGCGGUGGAGCAUGUGGUUUAAUUCGAAGCAACGCGAAGAACCUUACCAGGUCUUGACAUCCCGUUGACCACUGUAGAGAUAUGGUUUCCCCUUCGGGGGCAACGGUGACAGGUGGUGCAUGGUUGUCGUCAGCUCGUGUCGUGAGAUGUUGGGUUAAGUCCCGCAACGAGCGCAACCCUUGAUCUUAGUUGCCAUCAUUUAGUUGGGCACUCUAAGGUGACUGCCGGUGACAAACCGGAGGAAGGUGGGGAUGACGUCAAAUCAUCAUGCCCCUUAUGACCUGGGCUACACACGUGCUACAAUGGACGAUACAAACGGUUGCCAACUCGCGAGAGGGAGCUAAUCCGAUAAAGUCGUUCUCAGUUCGGAUUGUAGGCUGCAACUCGCCUACAUGAAGCCGGAAUCGCUAGUAAUCGCGGAUCAGCAUGCCGCGGG